This is a long non-coding RNA of Carassius gibelio (silver crucian carp), 674 nucleotides long. RefSeq lists it as uncharacterized. The transcript is spliced from 4 exons. The record is from RefSeq and is a predicted model, not a curated record. Lineage: Eukaryota; Metazoa; Chordata; Actinopteri; Cypriniformes; Cyprinidae.
UGUAAAAUUUUUCCAGGAUUUCACAAGAUAUAACUGUAAUAUUUCACAGUUAAUUACAUUAUUACCACUUCACAGGCUUUAACUGUGAUAAUUCACAAUAUAAUACCGUAUUUAGACUUUUACUGUGAAAAUAAUGCAGGCGCGGGGCUUUUACAAGAAACUACUGUGAAUGCCGUCUUUUUUGAGUGGCAACUGCGGCAGCGUCAUCAGAGCGUCAUCAGAGCUCUCUGAUCUACGUGGUCUCAUUCGGUGGAUUCAGACAGCGCAUUUUCUACAUUGACCGACGAUAAAUAAAGUUAUAAGGUGCUUCUUGGGCAUCAACCCAGAGACGGGCACAAAAUCUAAGAGGCAGAGAGGUCACAUGAACCAGCAAGUCUGCACUCUUAUCAGGAAGCUCAUUGACUUCGAAUGGAUGUCAAUCUAAUUGGAUAGAACCCACACUAUGCAGGUGCCAGCUGCGAGGGAAGGAGAGAGACACCUGCGACCCUCUCUAUUCCCACCUUUUUGUCUUUUCUUACAUCUCUCUCCCUCACUCUCUCUUCUCUGUCUCCUUCUUUCUCUUUUGACACACAUUCCUGUUACCCAGUGUCAAUCCCUGUUGCCCAGUGUUUUAUUCAUGUAAUUAAAUUGUAUUUUACUUCUAAAAAAUAAAAGUUAUGUCACUGUUUUUAUCA